UAUCCUGGCUCAGGAUGAACGCUAGCGACAGGCUUAACACAUGCAAGUCGAGGGGCAGCGGGGGCGUAGCAAUACUGCCUGCCGGCGACCGGCGCACGGGUGAGUAACACGUAUGCAACCUACCCUUGUCAGGGGGAUAAGCCGGAGAAAUCCGGUCUAAUACCGCGUGACAUCGGGAUUCCGCAUGGGAUUCCGAUCAAAGGAUUUAUCCGGACAAGGAUGGGCAUGCGGCGCAUUAGCUAGUUGGCGGGGUAACGGCCCACCAAGGCGACAAUGCGUAGGGGUUCUGAGAGGAAGGUCCCCCACACUGGUACUGAGACACGGACCAGACUCCUACGGGAGGCAGCAGUGAGGAAUAUUGGUCAAUGGGCGAGAGCCUGAACCAGCCAAGUCGCGUGAGGGAAUAAGGUCCUAUGGAUUGUAAACCUCUUUUGUCGGGGAGCAAUGAGCGUCACGUGUGAUGCGUUGAGAGUACCCGAAGAAAAGCAUCGGCUAACUCCGUG
RNAcentral lists this ribosomal RNA (503 nucleotides) under uncultured Porphyromonadaceae bacterium. RNAcentral's name for it is "bacterial SSU rRNA". It matches the Rfam family "Bacterial small subunit ribosomal RNA", at positions 15 to 507 of the family's 1533-position model. The record is from RNAcentral. Lineage: Bacteria; Pseudomonadati; Bacteroidota; Bacteroidia; Bacteroidales; Porphyromonadaceae.